CGAAAGGCGUAGUCGAUGGGAACCAGGUUAAUAUUCCUGGGCCUUCUGGGAUGUGACGAAUGCUGUAAGUUGUUACCGCUUAUCGGAUUUGCGGUGGCAGCGAAGGCGUUCCAGGAAACAGCCCCAGUAGUAGACCGUACCCUAAACCAACACAGGUGGACUGGUAGAGCAUACCAAGGCGCUUGAGAGAACUCUGCUGAAGGAACUCGGCAAAUUA
This 217-nucleotide ribosomal RNA is filed under the name Isochrysis galbana. RNAcentral describes it as "partial Bacterial large subunit ribosomal RNA". It matches the Rfam family "Bacterial large subunit ribosomal RNA", at positions 1403 to 1724 of the family's 2925-position model. The record is from RNAcentral. Lineage: Eukaryota; Haptophyta; Isochrysidales; Isochrysidaceae.